Sphaerobacter thermophilus DSM 20745 is the source of this 146-nucleotide regulatory RNA element. The record is from Rfam. NCBI's taxonomy places the organism in Bacteria, Pseudomonadati, Thermomicrobiota, Thermomicrobia, Sphaerobacterales, Sphaerobacteraceae.
AGAAUCCCCGACGGCAGCGGGUACCGGCCUAAGCCUGGCCGGUCCACCCGGGGGAACACCGGUGAAAGUCCGGGGCUGUGCCGCAACUGUGACGCCGCGCCUCGCCGCGGCGAAGCCAGAUUACCCGCCGCUGCCGUGUCCGAACC